Molecule: long non-coding RNA, 821 nt
Organism: Alnus glutinosa
Lineage: Eukaryota; Viridiplantae; Streptophyta; Magnoliopsida; Fagales; Betulaceae
Exons: 5
Source: RefSeq, a predicted model, not a curated record
AAUCGUUGCACAUGGUGCAUGGUAAUCCUUCUAUUUUCAACUCGAUCCAUGUGAUCGACCAGCAUUGCAUGCACCAUUUUCUUAACCUUUGACUGACUAGCUAGCUAGAUCUGUCGUGCUAUCAACUGAGAUAUUCAUCUCAUGCAGCCACCGAUUCAUGGGAUCGAAGACGAUGAUUCUUUGCAAGAUUAGUGCAGUUGAUCUUUAAGAUGUACGUGAAUUCAAAGGAUUGUGCAAAAAGGACUCCGACAACUGAUGCUGUAGGGGAACGCUUGGUCUUUUGUACGUGCCUAUGCUUAGUUGCAUGCAAUUUUCUUCCUUUAAUUUGUCCCUGAGAUCUCCAGAGGCAAUAUUCACUGGGCUCGUACGAACUGAGAGGAGUUUAUUCGGUGGAUGACCUCUCAUAGAGGCAAAGCUUUUCUCUCCAUUAUGGUAGCUGCUACAACAUAUGCUCUCUGAUUGUGGGAGAAACACAAUAUUAUUCCAAAGGAGAAGCAAAGAUUCCGGGUACAUUCUUUCAAAGAUUUUGUUUUGAGAUGCAAAGAAGAAUAAUUUUCAAGCCGGCUAGGUGUUACUAGUUCGUUUGGUGGGAUUGGGUCAGGCCAGCUUCGAAGCACUUGUAGUCUCCUCCGUUUAGGUCUAUUCUGUCAUUAGUUUUUAAUGUAUAUGUGUGACGUCUCAUAUCGCCCGAGUAUGAGAAUGAAAAUGUGCUUAUAUGUAUAAACGCACAAUUUUUGACACAACGCAUUUUAAAUCUGUGAUAGCCAUGAACCUAUUAGAACUCUGCAGUUAAGCGAACUUCUGAGAGAGUAGUAUCGAGA